UAAAUCAAACAAUUUCCGUACGGAACCAUCUUAAUUCACACAUGUGUCGGACAUUUUGAAUCUUUCAUUAGGAUUAAAAAUUAGAACUGCUUAUGAAUCUUAAAUUAUGUAAUAAAUAGUUUAGAAGAGAUAAAAGAAAUUUAUUUUUAGUAUUAUAUUGUGGUUAACGAAGCAGCUAAAAAGUCCUAUUGUUAUGAGGAUUGCAAAAGUUUUAAAUAACAUAAACUAAAGAAGGCAUUGAUAAUCAGCAGAUAAUAAAAAAAGCAAAAGUACUGAUUAUACAAAUCAUUUAGAGUCAAACGAUCACUACUUCCACAGCCACCUUGUCUCAAGGAUUCAAUUGCAUUGUAAGAUAUUUUUAUUCAAAUCAAGUGUGACUACUAUACCAAAAGACUGUAGAAUGGACAUAUGAACUAACCCAUCAGUACUUGCAAAGUCUCCUUUUCUGUUAGCUCGAAAAUUGAGUUCUAAAAUACCAUUAUUCACAUAACUACUAUAUCAAAGCACAAACUAAUGGAUUGAUCA
Molecule: long non-coding RNA, 525 nt
Organism: Hydra vulgaris (swiftwater hydra)
Lineage: Eukaryota; Metazoa; Cnidaria; Hydrozoa; Anthoathecata; Hydridae
Source: RefSeq, a predicted model, not a curated record